GAGUUUGAUCAUGGCUCAGAACGUACGCUGGCGGCACGCCUAACACAUGCAAGUCGAACGAAGUAGCAAUACUUAGUGGCAGACGGGUGAGUAACAUGUAGGUAUCUGCCCUUUGGCCUGGAAUAACACGAGGAAACUUGUGCUAAUACCGGAUAAGUCUUUACGGAGAAAGCUUUAUGCACCAUUGGAUGAGCCUGCACUUGAUUAGUUUGUUGGUGGGGUAAUGGCCUACCAAGACUGUGAUCAAUAGCUGAUUUGAGAGGAUGAUCAGCCACAUUGGGACUGAGACACGGCCCAAACUCCUACGGGAGGCAGCAGUGGGGAAUCUUGCACAAUGGAGGAAACUCUGAUGCAGCGAUGCCGCGUGAGUGAAGAAGGCCUUUGGGUUGUAAAGCUCUUUCGUCGGGGAAGAAAAUGACUGUACCCGAAUAAGAAGGUCCGGCUAACUUCGUGCCAGCAGCCGCGGUAAUACGAAGGGACCUAGCGUAGUUCGGAAUUACUGGGCUUAAAGAGUUCGUAGGUGGUUGAAAAAGUUGGUGGUGAAAUCCCAGAGCUUAACUCUGGAACUGCCAUCAAAACUUUUCAGCUAGAGUUUGAUAGAGGAAAGCAGAAUUUCUAGUGUAGAGGUGAAAUUCGUAGAUAUUAGAAAGAAUACCAAUUGCGAAGGCAGCUUUCUGGAUCAUUACUGACACUGAGGAACGAAAGCAUGGGUAGCGAAGAGGAUUAGAUACCCUCGUAGUCCAUGCCGUAAACGAUGUGUGUUAGACGUUGGAAAUUUAUUUUCAGUGUCGCAGCGAAAGCGAUAAACACACCGCCUGGGGAGUACGACCGCAAGGUUAAAACUCAAAUGAAUUGACGGGGACCCGCACAAGUAGUGGAGCAUGUGGUUUAAUUCGAAGAUACGCGCAGAACCUUACCAACACUUGACAUGUUCGUCGCGACUUUAAGAGAUUAAAGUUUUCGGUUCGGCCGGACGAAACACAGGUGCUGCAUGGCUGUCGUCAGCUCGUGUCGUGAGAUGUUGGGUUAAGUCCCGCAACGAGCGCAACCCUCACUUUUAGUUGCCAUCAUUAAGUUGGGCACUCUGAAAGAACUGCCAGUGAUAAGCUGGAGGAAGGUGGGGAUGACGUCAAGUCCUCAUGGCCCUUACGUGUUGGGCUACACACGUGCUACAAUGGUAUCUACAACAGGAAGCAAGACUGCGAGGUCAAGCAAAUCCUCAAAAGAUACCUCAGUUCGGAUUGCACUCUGCAACUCGAGUGCAUGAAGCUGGAAUUACUAGUAAUCGUGGAUCAGCGUGCCACGGUGAAUGCGU
Molecule: ribosomal RNA, 1315 nt
Filed under: unidentified marine bacterioplankton
Lineage: Bacteria
Description: bacterial SSU rRNA
Rfam family: Bacterial small subunit ribosomal RNA
Source: RNAcentral